CCCUUAGAUGUCCUGGGCUACACGCGCGCUACACUGGAAGUUACGGAUUGAGAUACUACCUUGUCCGAAAUGGUCCGGGUAAUCACCUAAAAGCUUGUCAUAAUUGGAAUGGAUUAUUGUAACUAGUAAUCCUGAACGAGGAAUUCCUAGUAAGUCCCAGUCAACAGCUGGUACUGAUUACGUCCCUGCCCUUUGUACACACCGCCCGUCGCUACUACUGAUUGGACGUUUAAGCAAGAUUUUUAAACACUGACAGUGUGUAGUUCACGCUAUACUACAGUGAGAAGAAGAAGAUCGAGCUUACUUGUCUAGAGGAAGUAAAAGUCGUAACA
This 332-nucleotide ribosomal RNA is filed under the name uncultured eukaryote. Its description in RNAcentral is "partial 18S ribosomal RNA". It matches the Rfam family "Eukaryotic small subunit ribosomal RNA", at positions 1470 to 1796 of the family's 1831-position model. The record is from RNAcentral.